UACGUUAUCUCCCUUUCCCUUUUUCUCUCUGUCCCUCCCUCCUUCUUCCUCUCUAUUCUUCCCCUCCCCUUGUUUUUAUGCCUGAUUAUGUGGACACAGACAAGGAUUAAAACAGGGCACCUGCCCUUGAGGAGUUUACAAUCUGCUGGGCUGAGGAUCAACACAUGUUCAAAAAGAGAGGAAAGAAGUCAAGGGAGAUCAUGCCAGAUGGACUUAAUUUCAAUGAAGAACAGGAGUCCUAAAGAUUAAGAAGAGAGGUCUUCCUGCCUGUAAGAAGGAGGCACUCUCUGCUUCUGUCAUGUGCUAAGCUUCGUCAAACAGAUUAUCUCUCUAAAGGUAGAGGCCUGUGAUUGACCGCUGUACCAAUGACUGAGCAGACAUAAAAGUCAGCCUGGAUGGCUACCACCACUAAUCAGAUUUGUCUGCUGAUGCAAGGCCCUUCAGUCAUUCCAGAACUGGUAAAUGGAGUCACCCUGAGGACAGGCCCUGCUGCUGAUUGAUGUCCAGUGUGGGCAGCUCUCUUGGCUGCUCAACAUUCAGAGAGGCUCUCCUUGUUUCAGUGCUAAAUGAUUGACAGUCAGGGUGAGUAUUUCAGGAGGAAGAGUCCCCCGCCCACUCCAGCCAUGUGGCAAAGGUAUUUGCUUCCUUGGGAAGGAAGUGAUUUAUCUGUGGGAGAACACUGUUUGGGCAAAGUUGCGUAGGAACAGCGUCUGUCUCUGCAAGCAUGUGUGUAUGUGAGUGUGGGCAUAAAGCAGCAAGAGUGGAAGGUAAAGACAACGUGAACGUCAUAAAAGAACACUUCUUUUUACAAAUGCUUGAAAACAUUCGAUGCUGAAAGACUUCAGACCACAUAAAUGAAUUUGCACCUAAUUCAACAUAGCUAUACUUCUUUCUUUUUCAGAAUUAAUGAGCCUGCCUUAUCAUUAGUUUUAUCAUAGAAACUAUCACAGAGAAGAAACCAUCUUAGAGAGAAAUCGGUGGAAGACAAGAUGAAAAAGGAAAAAUAAAAAAGACUGGAGGCAGGGGAACAUGGAGAAUGCAAGUGUGUUUGCAUUUGCACCAAGUUUGAGUUGAAAGGCUUUAUAAGGAUUUUGAGCAGCUGUAUAAGUAGUUAGAGCUAGAUAUGUGUAUAUGUGUUGCCAUUAACCAAGUUACUUCAACAUUAGCCUUAUGAUUAUAUGCCCUAGCAUUCAGAUUCAAGGAAGAAACAGUUUCUCUGGAGAAUUUUGUUCCUUAGUGACUGAUUUCAGUUGAUUUCAAGAUACCACAGACUGGGAAAUUUAUGAAGAAAAGAAAUUUAUUUGGCUUAUGGUUCUGGAGGAUGGACAGUCCAAGGUCAUGACACUUGGAUCUGUUCGGCCAUCUGGUGAAGACCUUGUUGCAUUCUCCCAUGGUGGAAAGAAGAAAGCAAGUGAGUACAAGAGAUAGAGAAAGAUAAGGGCAGAACUUACUCUCUUAUCAGGAGUCCGCUUCUAUAACCCAUUCUAAAAAUAAAGCAUUAAUCCAUUCAUGAGGGUAGAGCCCUCAUAACCUAUCACCUCUAAAGAUCCCACUUCUUAAUACUGUCACAAUGGCAAUUAAAUUUUAACGUGAGUGUUGUAGGGAACAUUCAAACAACAGCAACUACAACAACAACAGACGUCAGCUCCUGUGUGUCUUCCCUUGCUCAUCUAUGCCUACCAGAAUAGAAUGAAAGAAGGGUUUAUUUGAUCCUGUGUUCAAGUCAUUCAUUUAUUCCACUAGGCAAUCUGUCAAGAUCUCAUAGAUUAAGGGCUCCUACAGCAACCUGUACUCACCCUAUUUUACCCUUUAUCAUACAUUUUUGGUAAGUAAUCUUUUUAUUGUUCAACUUCCCAAAUAAAAUAUAAACUUUUAACAAACAGGGACCUUGGCUUUCUUGUUGAAUUCUGUAUCCUUAGUGUUUCACAUGGGGACUGACACAAAGUAGGUUUCAAGAAAUAGUUGUUGAAGUAAAUAUUUCCUUAGGACCUACUCUGCUGAGAUUACUAGUUGCCUUGUAUCAUAGUAGGUCAUACUUAUCCCUUCUUUUUAAGUAACAUAAUUCUCAUUUUAACCUGGAAGGCCAUACUAAGUGGCCAAAAGACAACCCAGCUCCUGUGUCAUUAAGAAUAACUGUGUAAAUCUGAUUCAUGAGAUGUAAACAGAAAUGUUGUGUUUCACUUCCAUGAAGUCUUUUACUCCAUCCUCCUCCUUAGAUCAUGCAUGUGAUGGCUGGAACUCAGUCAUUUUGGACCAUGAAGACCAGACCCACACGCUGGGGCCUAAGAAGCAGAAGUAUGAAAGCCACCUGGAUCCCUGAAGACCAUGGAAUUGUUAGAACAAUUCUACUCUAUCUGUAGACUUGUUUUAUUUGAAAGAUAAGUAGAUUUCUGUCUUAUUCAAUUCACUGAUUUUGGUUCUUUGUUAUUUGCAAUCAAAUCUAAUUCCAGUAGAUACAACUCCUAAGUGCAGAGCACUGUUCUAGGGAUUGUGGGGCAUGCUGACAUGGGUCUCAUGCCUGCAUAGCACUCAUAGCCUGCAGAAGAACAGCAGUGCUGCCAUAUCUGAUGGUCAUUUGACACACUGAACUCCAGCCAUAUCAAUUUUCUUUUCAGUCCCCAAAUGGCAGUCACCACAAAAGAAGAAAAGAUAAAGCUCUUAGUGGGAUCUGAAUCAAGAGAUACCACUUACAGUGGAAGGAAAAAAGAUCAUUUUCAUGGAGGAACUGCCCUUGAAUUUCGCCUUGAAUAUUGAUGAGUAUUGGAAUCUGCAGAGACUGGGAUAAGGUUGGGAUGAGGUCGAACACUACAGGAACAGAAAAUAUGGAACAUGUUUGGGAGCAGGCCAGGGAUUCUGUCAUAUAAAGUGCAUGAAAAAGCAUAUCAUGUAAUAUUUAUGAUUAUUGCUCUGGAGUUAGACUGUUUGGGUUUGAAUCCCAGAUCCAGUGUUUACUAUCUAUGUGACCUCGGCUGAGUCAUGAACUUCCAUGAGCUCCAUUCUUCUCACCUUUAAAAUGAAGAUCACAACUCCUACCUUCUUGGCUUGUUACCAGAAUUAAAUGAGUUUUUAUGUGUGGAGGGCUCAUGAGAGUGGCUGUCCCAAAUAAGCAUUCUCUAAAUGUUAGAUAUGACUGUCAUCCCCUUAAAACUGCAAGAGUUAGUUGAAACCAUAGCAAGCCGAGCCAUGAAUGCCAUGUUAAUGCAUGUUAAUGCCAUUAUUAUAAAGGUACCAAAAAGCUGCUGACAGUUUGUGAGCAAAGUUGUGGAUGACAUUAUCAGAGCUGUAUUUUAGGAAGUCUUAAUAUGUCAA
Molecule: long non-coding RNA, 3309 nt
Filed under: Homo sapiens (human)
Lineage: Eukaryota; Metazoa; Chordata; Mammalia; Primates; Hominidae
Description: HSALNT0354626
Source: RNAcentral